RNAcentral lists this ribosomal RNA (682 nucleotides) under uncultured Cryptophyta. RNAcentral's name for it is "bacterial SSU rRNA". It matches the Rfam family "Eukaryotic small subunit ribosomal RNA", at positions 423 to 1066 of the family's 1831-position model. Lineage: Eukaryota; Cryptophyceae. The record is from RNAcentral.
GAGCAGCAGGCGCGCAAUUACCCAAUCCUGAUUCAGGGAGGUAGCGACAAGAAAUAACGGUUGCAGACUCAUACGAGCCUGUUAAUUGGAAUGAGGAUAAUUUACACCCCUUCUCGAGGAUCCAUUGGAGGGCAAGUCUGGUGCCAGCAGCCGCGGUAAUUCCAGCUCCAAUAGCGUAUACUAAAGUUGUUGCAGUUAAAAAGCUCGUAGUCGAAUACGGAUUUUCGCAAGCCGUUUCUCUUGGGUGAAAAUCUUAAGAGAAAUUUGCAAGUAGAAUCCAAGCAUGUUGACUUUUUCUUUUCUUUAUUUUAUUGUUUUUAAUUUUACAUUGAAAGCAUAAAAAUUGAUCGAAUUAGUGGCAUUAUUUACUGUGAACAAAAUAGAGUGUUCAUGGCAGGCCUUUUAUGGCUUAUAUACCUCAGCAUGGAAUAAUAGAAUAGGACUUCCGGUUCCAUUUUAUUGGUUUUUAGAGCCGAAGUAAUGAUUAAUAGGGAUAGUUGGGGGCACCCGUACUCCGUUGUCAGAGGUGAAAUUCUUGGAUUUACGGAAGACGAACAACUGCGAAAGCAUCUGCCAAGGAUGUUUUCAUUGAUCAAGAACGAAAGUUAGGGGAUCGAAGACGAUUAGAUACCGUCGUAGUCUUAACCAUAAACUAUGCCGACUGGGGAUUGGUAGAUGUAUC